RNAcentral lists this long non-coding RNA (1665 nucleotides) under Taeniopygia guttata (zebra finch). RNAcentral's name for it is "lncRNA (ENSTGUG00000019334.1)". Lineage: Eukaryota; Metazoa; Chordata; Aves; Passeriformes; Estrildidae. The record is from RNAcentral.
UGGUUAUACUGGUUUAUACUGGUUUAUACUGGGAGGGGUGUGGGUGGCACUGGUUUAUACUGGUUUAUACUGGUUUAUACUGGUUUAUACUGGGAGGGGGUUGUGUGGCACUCUUCCUCUGAGUCCCCAGUGCUCCCAGUAUCCCCAGUUCCCAUUCCCAGUGCUCCCAGUAUGGCCCAGUCCCAUUCCCAGUGCUCCCAGUAUGGCCCAGUCCCAUUCCCAGUGCUCCCAGUAUGGCCCAGUCCCAUUCCCAGUGCUCCCAGUAUGGCCCAGUCCCAUUCCCAGUGCUCCCAGUAUGGCCCAGUCCCAUUCCCAGUGCUCCCAGUAUCCCCAGUCCCAUUCCCAGUGCUCCCAGUAUCCCCAGUUCCCGCCCGCCUGCCGGACUCCGCCGCGCCGCCAGGUGGCGCUGUCGCGGUCGCUGCUCUUCCCGGAAGUGCCGCUCUGGCCGCUCCUCCCGGAAGUGCCGCUCCGGCCGCCGCUCUCGCUGCUCCACCCCGGAAGUGCCGCUCCGGCCGCCGCUCUGUGAUUGGCUCCUCCCCUGCCGGGGCGCGGCGUCGCGCGACCGGAAGCGCGGUGACGUCACUGUUUGCGGAAGUGCUGCGCGGAGCCGGUGUCCCAUGGAGGUGCUCUUUGGGCGGAGGCGCUCUCCGGAGGAGCUGCUCCGGCAGAACCAGCGCGCUGUGUGUGUGUCCCUGCGUGUCCCUGUGUGUCCCUGCGUGUCCCUGUGUGUCCCUGCGUGUCCCUGUGUGUCCCUGUGUGUCCCUGUGUGUCCCUGCGUGUCCCUGUGUGUCCCUGUGUGUCCCUGUGUGUCCCUGCGUGUCACCACGUGUCACCACGUGUCCCCAAUGUCCCCAGGUGUCCCAUGGAGGUGCUCUUUGGGCGGAGGCGCUCUCCUGAGGAGCUGCUCCGGCAGAACCAGCGCGCUGUGUGCUGUGUCCCUGCAUGUCCCUGCGUGUCCCUGUGUGUCCCUGUGUAUCACAGCGUGUCCCCAGUGUCACCUCAAUGUCCCCAAUGUCCCCAGGUGUCCCAUGGAGGUGCUCUUUGGGCGGAGGCGCUCUCCUGAGGAGCUGCUCCGGCAGAACCAGCGCGCUGUGUGUGUGUCCCUGAGUGUCCCUGCGUGUCCCUGUGUGUCCCUGCGUGUCCCUGUGUAUCACAGCGUGUCCCUGAGUGUCCCUGCGUGUCCCUGUGUGUCCCUGUGUGUCCCUGUGUGUCCCCAGAUGUCACCACGUGUCCCCAAUGUCCCCAGGUGUCCCAUGGAGGUGCUCUUUGGGCGGAGGCGCUCUCCUGAGGAGCUGCUCCGGCAGAACCAGCGCGCUGUGUGCUGUGUCCCUGUGUGUCCCUGUGUGUCCCUGCGUGUCCCUGCGUGUCCCUGUGUGUCCCCUCAGUGUCCCCAAUGUCCCCAAUGUCCCCAGGUGUCCCAUGGAGGUGCUGUUCGGGCGGAGGCGCUCUCCAGAGGAGCUGCUCCGGCAGAACCAGCGCGCUGUGUGCUGUGUCCCUGUGUGUCCCUGCGUGUCCCUGUGUGUCCCUGUGUGUCCCUGCGUGUCCCUGUGUGUCCCUGUGUGUCCCUGCGUGUCCCUGUGUGUCCCUGUGUGUCCCUGUGUAUCACAGCGUGUCCCCAGGUGUCACAGUGUGUCCCCAAUGUCCCCAGGUGUCCCAUGGAGGUGC